Molecule: small nucleolar RNA, 106 nt
Organism: Hevea brasiliensis (rubber tree)
Lineage: Eukaryota; Viridiplantae; Streptophyta; Magnoliopsida; Malpighiales; Euphorbiaceae
Source: RefSeq, a predicted model, not a curated record
AUGCUAUGGUGUGGACAUUCCCUUUGUAGGUCUUUGUACCUCUCCCAUACAUCAUAAAGUGAUUCUCCUUCCCUUCAUUUAAAAGUAUUAGUUCUAUUCUUAGUUU